GAUGAACGCUGGCGGCGUGCCUAAUACAUGCAAGUCGAGCGAACAGAUGAGGAGCUUGCUCCUCUGACGUUAGCGGCGGACGGGUGAGUAACACGUGGAUAACCUACUAUAAGACUGGGAUAACUUCGGGAAACCGGAGCUAAUACCGGAUAAUAUAUUGAACCGCAUGGUUCAAUAGUGAAAGACGGUUUUGCUGUCACUUAUAGAUGGAUCCGCGCCGCAUUAGCUAGUUGGUAAGGUAACGGCUUACCAAGGCGACGAUGCGUAGCCGACCUGAGAGGGUGAUCGGCCACACUGGAACUGAGACACGGUCCAGACUCCUACGGGAGGCAGCAGUAGGGAAUCUUCCGCAAUGGGCGAAAGCCUGACGGAGCAACGCCGCGUGAGUGAUGAAGGUCUUCGGAUCGUAAAACUCUGUUAUUAGGGAAGAACAAAUGUGUAAGUAACUAUGCACGUCUUGACGGUACCUAAUCAGAAAGCCACGGCUAACUACGUG
RNAcentral lists this ribosomal RNA (496 nucleotides) under uncultured bacterium. Its description in RNAcentral is "partial 16S ribosomal RNA". It matches the Rfam family "Bacterial small subunit ribosomal RNA", at positions 28 to 507 of the family's 1533-position model. The record is from RNAcentral.